RNAcentral lists this ribosomal RNA (253 nucleotides) under uncultured bacterium. RNAcentral describes it as "partial 16S ribosomal RNA". It matches the Rfam family "Bacterial small subunit ribosomal RNA", at positions 524 to 776 of the family's 1533-position model. The record is from RNAcentral.
UACAGAGGGGGCUAGCGUUGUUCGGAAUUACUGGGCGUAAAGGGCGCGUAGGCGGCCCUCUAAGUCGAACGUGAAAUCCCCGGGCUCAACCCGGGAACUGCGUCCGAUACUGGAGGGCUCGAAUCCGGGAGAGGGAUGUGGAAUUCCAGGUGUAGCGGUGAAAUGCGUAAAUAUCUGGAGGAACACCGGUGGCGAAGGCGGCAUCCUGGACCGGUAUUGACGCUGAGGCGCGAAAGCCAGGGGAGCAAACGGG